GGGAUGUUAGCUCAGUUGGUUCAGAGCAUCACGUCGACAACGUGGGGGCCACUGGUUCGAGUCCAGUACGUCCCACUA
RNAcentral lists this transfer RNA (78 nucleotides) under Sporocytophaga myxococcoides. Its description in RNAcentral is "tRNA-Val". It matches the Rfam family "tRNA". Rfam says of the family: Transfer RNA (tRNA) molecules are approximately 80 nucleotides in length. Their secondary structure includes four short double-helical elements and three loops (D, anti-codon, and T loops). Lineage: Bacteria; Pseudomonadati; Bacteroidota; Cytophagia; Cytophagales; Cytophagaceae. The record is from RNAcentral.